This 582-nucleotide ribosomal RNA is filed under the name uncultured bacterium. Its description in RNAcentral is "partial 16S ribosomal RNA". It matches the Rfam family "Bacterial small subunit ribosomal RNA", at positions 364 to 935 of the family's 1533-position model. The record is from RNAcentral.
UUUCCNNAUGNGCGAAGCCUGACGGNGCAANANCCGCGUGGAGGGANGAAGGCUCUUGGGCUGUAAACCUCUUUUCUUUGGAAAGACGCUCUGNCGGUNCUCNAGAAGGAAAUCAGCACUCGGGCUAACUCUCGUGCCAGCAGCCGCGGUAAUACAGGAGGAUGCAAGCGUUAUCCGGAAUNAUUGGGCGUAAAGCNUCCGUAGGUGGCUGCUNAAGUCUGUGGUUAAAACCAAGUAGGCUUUAACUACGUGAGGGGCAGGUGGAAACUGAAUAGCUAUGAGUGCGGUAGGGGUAGAGGGAAUUCCCAGUGUAACGGUGAAAUGUGCAGAGAUUGGGAAGAACACCGGUGGCGAAAGCGCUCUGCUGGACCACANNCNNCACUUNCAAGACGAAAGCUAGGGGAGCGAAAGGGAUUAGAUACCCUUGUAGUCCUAACCGUAAACGAUGGAUACUAAAGUGCUGUCGAGUAUAGACCCUCACAGUANCCNGAUCCAACACCGCNUAACUGNUCCNGNCUGGUCGAGUACACACANCACUCAGUGAAACUCACAAGAAUGGACAGGNAAGGGCGACANUNGCAG